UGUGCCAGUUGUACCGCCAGGUGCAUGGCUGGUUAGCCACCUACGGAAGGGAUAAACGCUGAAAGCAUCUAAGUGUGAAACCCGUCCCAAGAUAAGAGUUCCCAUGCGGUUAACGCAGUAAGGCCCGUGGCGAGACCACCACGUUGAUAGGCCGGAAGUGGAAGCGCGGCGACGCGCGGAGCUGACCGGUACUAAUCGGCCGAGGGCUUGGAU
Molecule: ribosomal RNA, 213 nt
Filed under: Actinomycetota bacterium
Lineage: Bacteria; Bacillati; Actinomycetota
Description: Actinobacteria bacterium partial 23S ribosomal RNA
Rfam family: Bacterial large subunit ribosomal RNA
Source: RNAcentral